CCUACGGGAGGCAGCAGUGAGGAAUAUUGGUCAAUGGGCGCAAGCCUGAACCAGCCAAGUCGCGUGAGGGAAGAAGGUCCUAUGGAUUGUAAACCUCUUUUGUCGGGGAGCAAAAGACGCCACGCGUGGCGUUCCGAGAGUACCCGAAUAAAAAGCAUCGGCUAACUCCGUGCCAGCAGCCGCGGUAAUACGGAGGCUGCGAGCGUUGUCCGGAUUUAUUGGGGUGAAAGGGUGCGAGGGCGGAAGGUCAAGUCAGCGGUAAAAUUGAGAGGCUCAACCUCUUCGAGCCGUUGAAACUGGUUGUCUUGAGUGAGUGAGAGGUAUGCGGAAUGCGUGGUGUAGCGGUGAAAUGCAUAGAUAUCGCGCAGAACUCCGAUUGCGAAGGCAGCAUCCCGGCGCUCAACUGACGCUCAGGCACGAAAGUGUGGGUAUCGAACAGGAUUAGAUACCCCUGUAGUC
Molecule: ribosomal RNA, 459 nt
Filed under: uncultured bacterium
Lineage: Bacteria
Description: partial 16S ribosomal RNA
Rfam family: Bacterial small subunit ribosomal RNA
Source: RNAcentral